AGCUGAACUGCUUGAGCUGUGUGCUGCCCGAGGAGCUGCUGGUGGACAUCCUCAGUGAGAGGCUGCAGCGUAAAGACUGCUCCAAGGGAGUGAUCUUUGAUGGCUUGGAGAGCCUCUUUGCAAGCAGCCUGGAAUCUUCCCUACUCUGCGUACUCAAAGCUGUCAAGAAUCGUUGUCAUAUCUUCAUGGUAAACCUGCAUGAGGAUUAUGAUUCUUGGAAAGCCAGGGAGGAAGCUGAAAGAAAAAGGAAGGAAGCUGAAACCGAGAAGGAAGAAAUGCAGCGGGAAAAAGCUCUGCAGAGGAAAGCAGAACGUAUCUUGCAAAUAGAUGAGGAUGAGUAUGAUGCUCUCCCUAAGGAGAAGAAAGCAGAAGUGGAUAAAAUAAUCCUGGAAAGGAAGCGCAUAC
Molecule: long non-coding RNA, 405 nt
Organism: Melospiza melodia melodia
Lineage: Eukaryota; Metazoa; Chordata; Aves; Passeriformes; Passerellidae
Exons: 3
Source: RefSeq, a predicted model, not a curated record